This is a long non-coding RNA of Saccostrea cuccullata (small rock oyster), 443 nucleotides long. RefSeq lists it as uncharacterized. NCBI's taxonomy places the organism in Eukaryota, Metazoa, Mollusca, Bivalvia, Ostreida, Ostreidae. The record is from RefSeq and is a predicted model, not a curated record. The transcript is spliced from 3 exons.
AAGGGAGGAAUGCACUUUGGUUAGAGAUUUUCAUUUGGUGUCAAACGCACCUAGUUGUAAACAAAUGGAAAUUGAAAGUAAAAGUGCAACGGCACGGUAUAUUUUUUCUGGCAUUUUUUGUUUUCCAAUAUCUCGAACUUUCACGACAAAAAGGUCAUUUGCCCGAAAUUCAAUACAUGUAUCAGUGAGAGGGGCUAAAGUUUGUAUGGAAGUCUAUGGGAAAACAUUUGGUGGUGUUUGUCCUAUAGAAUAGCAAUGCAUUAUCAAGAAGGAAGAGAUUAAUGAACCCUACCCUCUUACAAUGAACAACACAUGGACACUCUCGGGAUGAUCCCUCUGCUUUCAUUAAGAGUUCCAAGAUAUUGGUCUGAUUGACUGGGGUGUGAAAUGUAACAGCCAGUGGUGUACUUAAGCUAAGACUGUCAGUCCCAAUAUUCAAGAGG